AACUGAUACUACCUGCGGGAACCUGCGGAGGGAUCAUUACCGAGUUUACAACUCCCAAACCCAAUGUGAACGUUACCAAACUGUUGCCUCGGCGGGAUCUCUGCCCCGGGUGCGUCGCAGCCCCGGACCAAGGCGCCCGCCGGAGGACCAACCAAAACUCUUUUGUAUACCCCCUCGCGGGUUUUUUAUAUCUGAGCCAUCUCGGCGCCUCUCGUAGGCGUUUCGAAAAUGAAUCAAAAC
RNAcentral lists this unclassified non-coding RNA (240 nucleotides) under soil metagenome. RNAcentral's name for it is "partial contains 5.8S ribosomal RNA, internal transcribed spacer 2, and large subunit ribosomal RNA". The record is from RNAcentral.